UUCGCAAUGCCCGAAAGGGUGACGAAGCGACGCCGCGUGUGGGAAGAAGGCCUUCGGGUUGUAAACCACUGUCGGGAGUUAAGAAAUGUAAGGGUGUUAAUAGUAUCCUUACUUGACUAAGGCUCCGGAGGAAGCCACGGCUAACUCUGUGCCAGCAGCCGCGGUAAUACAGAGGCGGCAAGCGUUGUUCGGAAUUAUUGGGCGUAAAGAGCACGUAGGCGGCCUUGUAAGUCAGUUGUGAAAGCCUUCUGCUUAACGGAAGAACAGCAGCUGAUACUGCAAGGCUAGAGUGCGGAAGGGGAGAGUGGAACUUCUGGUGGAGCGGUGAAAUGCGUAGAUAUCAGAAGGAACACCGGCGGCGAAGGCGACUCUCUGGUCCGUAACUGACGCUGAGUGUGCGAAAGCUAGGGGAGCAAACGGGAUUAGAUACCCCGGUAGUCCUAGCCGUAAACGAUGGGCACUAAGUAGAGGGGUUUU
RNAcentral lists this ribosomal RNA (477 nucleotides) under uncultured bacterium. Its description in RNAcentral is "bacterial SSU rRNA". It matches the Rfam family "Bacterial small subunit ribosomal RNA", at positions 365 to 832 of the family's 1533-position model. The record is from RNAcentral.